AACGGACUCAGCUUUUUGGUCCGCAGCAGAUCACGGUUUGUAUAUAUGUUUAGAUCCGUCCACUACUGGACUAUUUGGACAUCACCCGCCAGUUUUUGCCUGCUUUGACAUCUCUAUAAUCCUCUGGCUAAAAGAGCUUUUCUAUGAGAUUGUAAUACUAAACUCCACAUUUCUAUAUUUGAAUCGGGAAAACUCAAUAUCAAAACAUGUUUCUCCCCUGCUAUAGAACAAAUUUCUUAAAAGCCUUGAAUGAAUCA
Molecule: long non-coding RNA, 257 nt
Filed under: Brassica napus (rape)
Lineage: Eukaryota; Viridiplantae; Streptophyta; Magnoliopsida; Brassicales; Brassicaceae
Description: long non-coding RNA (BNAP_LNC023311)
Source: RNAcentral